UUGCGUCGUCCAUUUCAACGUUCUACAAAUGACCACAAACGCACGGCUCUUCACCUUACUUCCGCCGCGCACUCACUCUCUCCACACUCGUAUUACACAGCGCCCGGUGGCUCACCGUCGCCAUCUCCCCUAACUACUUCUCUGACCACGGUGUUUCUGUGGUAGCUCUAGAUCGCUCCUCAUUUUCACUCUUCAGUGCAGUGAUUGGCAUUUUCCGACUUCGAAUUUCACUCACACUACUGAAGUUUAGCUCCAUGGAGCUGAGAAGGUUCGGAUUCAAGCAAUGCGGUUCGUUCGUUCUACUUUUGAUUUCAGGUUUGUUGUUGCUGCCUGUUAUGGUGAGUUCAGUUGGAGUGAACUACGGUCAGAUAGCGAAUAAUCUUCCUGCUCCGGAGAAUGUGAUCCCGUUGGUGAAAUCAAUUGGAGCUACGAAGGUGAAGCUGUACGAUGCGAGUCCGAAGGUUCUUCGGGCAUUUGCUAAUACAAGUGUGGAGUUCAUAGUUGGACUUGGAAACGAGUACUUGUCUAAAAUGAAGAAUCCAGCCUGUGCGGAAGAGUGGGUGAAGAAUAAUGUUCAAGCGUACUUCCCUGGCACUAAAAUCACUUCAAUCUUCGUCGGCAAUGAGGUAUUAACCUUCAAUGACACUUCUCUAACUGCUAAUUUACUACCGGCGAUGCAAAGCGUGCACACGGCGCUCGUAAAUCUAGGGCUAGAUAAGCAGGUGGCGGUGACUACGGCGCAUUCUUUGGCGAUACUUGAAACUUCCUAUCCGCCUUCCGCUGGAGUAUUCCGUAGAGAUUUAGUUGAUUGUUUGGUUCCAAUCUUGGACUUCCAUGUCAAGAUCGGCUCCCCGUUCUUGAUCAAUGCGUACCCGUACUUUGCGUACAAGGCGAAUCCGAAGCAGGUUUCACUGGAUUUCGUCCUCUUCCAACCGAACCAAGGGGUUUUAGAUCCCGGCUCAAAUCUUCACUACGACAACAUGUUGUUCGCACAGAUCGACGCUGUUUACUACGCACUCGCCGCUGUUGGUUACAAGAAACUUCCUGUUCAUAUCUCGGAGACCGGAUGGCCGUCGAAGGGAGACGAAGACGAGGCCGGUGCGACCCCAGAGAAUGCAAAGAAGUACAAUGGGAACCUACUCAAGUUCAUCUGCCAGAAGAAGGGGACGCCAUUGAGGCCGAACUCGGAUCUCAACAUUUAUGUAUUUGCUCUUUUUAACGAGAAUAUGAAGCCUGGACCAACUUCGGAGAGGAAUUAUGGUCUUUUUAAGCCUGAUGGUACGCCGGUGUAUCAGCUCGGAUUUUCCAUUAACGACGGCGUUGGAAACGGAACUCAUGGCACUUCCAGCGCGCAACCCUCGCCGCCGGGACCUCCCACUACCUCCACCGGUUAUUUAGCCAUUUCCUCCGCCACGGAGAGAAGCCAUUGGGUCGGAUUCUUUUCAAUGUUCCUGUUUCUGAUGGUGUUCAAGUUGCUACUUUGAAUUUAGGAGAUUAUUUAUUUUCAGUGUAUGGUAUGUGUUCCGAAAGAUGCUUUGGAUUUAUUUCAUUUAUCAGAAUCAGCCGUUAAAAGCAAUAUUGGAAGAUGUUAAAGAGAAUAAGAGGCAGCGUCGGAUUUGGGAAAAGGGAUAUAUCAGUUUUUAGUAAUAAAUUCUUUUGAUGUGAAUUUGGGUUUGUGGAUGGACAUAAAAUCUGGUAGAUGGAUGAUCCAAAACUUGUUCUUUGUAAUGCCAUUUGGUAAUCAAAUUUUAUUAAUUUGCUUAUUUUUAUGUUCCUCUUUCCUCUAUACUCCACCUUCCUUUGGUUUCUCGUUUUGUUUCUUUUACAUGAGAAUUUUAAUGGAAUGUAAAAUUGUAACAUUAUUUGUAUACGGAACUAUUUGCAUUGAAAGGUUAGGGUUUGGAAAUGACCCAA
Cucumis sativus (cucumber) is the source of this 1914-nucleotide RNA transcript. It is a transcript of the gene named glucan endo-1,3-beta-glucosidase 11, with no coding region annotated. The transcript is spliced from 4 exons. NCBI's taxonomy places the organism in Eukaryota, Viridiplantae, Streptophyta, Magnoliopsida, Cucurbitales, Cucurbitaceae. The record is from RefSeq and is a predicted model, not a curated record.